CUACAGGUGAAGCACAAUGGACUCAUUCAGGAGAUGAAGCACCCAACAGCUGGAUACAUCUCUGUACCAGGACCCGCGGUGCGUUACAGCAGCUUCCCCCCCCUCGGAGGCCACGCCCCCUCCUCUGAUUGGUCAACACACGGUCCAGGUGCUGAGAGACACUCUGUCCUACACUGAUGAUGUCAUCGAAUCGCUGCUGGAGUCCCGGGCCGUGGCGCAGAACGAAGUGUCCUAAUUGGCCGAGAGACAGGAAGUAAACAAUAACAACCAAUAUAAUUACAAGUAAAAGUCACUGUGAGACUUUUUGAGGUAUUUUUAAGAUUUUCCUGGUUAAAUUAAUGUUUUAUUUACGUAUUAAACAUUUUAUUAAUGUGCUUUAAAGAUAACAAUGCAAAACUAGACUUUAGAAACAGAAAUAUGUGUUUAUUUUGUUAUAUUUAAAUUCAUUUUACAGGUAAAUGCAGCUAAAAUGGACUAAAAACACAAAAGAAAGACUCCAUUCCUCAGGAUUUGAAGCCGUAUUUUUAACAUUAUUAAAUGUAAUCCUCACUUUGAAUGCUAUAUUUAAAACACUCCUGAUUUGUUUGCACUUGUUUGAUUGUAAAAGAUAAAAGUGUUAUUUUUGCACUCAAUAAAAAAUACGUUUUAA
Trematomus bernacchii (emerald rockcod) is the source of this 649-nucleotide long non-coding RNA. RefSeq lists it as uncharacterized. NCBI's taxonomy places the organism in Eukaryota, Metazoa, Chordata, Actinopteri, Perciformes, Nototheniidae. The record is from RefSeq and is a predicted model, not a curated record. The transcript has 2 exons.